RNAcentral lists this ribosomal RNA (102 nucleotides) under Triticum aestivum (bread wheat). Its description in RNAcentral is "partial small subunit ribosomal RNA". Lineage: Eukaryota; Viridiplantae; Streptophyta; Magnoliopsida; Poales; Poaceae. The record is from RNAcentral.
AUGAUUCCUCUGAAAUUACGACCUUUACCACAACGGUGCCGUCCAUGGAUCAAAUUAUUUCGUGGAUUGGAUUUCACUUGCCGAAGUAUUUGGAUAUGGUAG